AACGAACGCUGGCGGCAUGCCUAACACAUGCAAGUCGAACGAGACCUUCGGGUCUAGUGGCGCACGGGUGCGUAACGCGUGGGAAUCUGCCCUUGGGUUCGGAAUAACAGUUGGAAACGACUGCUAAUACCGGAUGAUGACGUAAGUCCAAAGAUUUAUCGCCCAGGGAUGAGCCCGCGUAGGAUUAGCUAGUUGGUGGGGUAAAGGCCUACCAAGGCGACGAUCCUUAGCUGGUCUGAGAGGAUGAUCAGCCACACUGGGACUGAGACACGGCCCAGACUCCUACGGGAGGCAACAGUGGGGAAUAUUGGACAAUGGGCGAAAGCAUGAUCCAGCAAUGCCGCGUGAGUGAUGAAGGCCUUAGGGUUGUAAAGCUCUUUUACCCGGGAUGAUAAUGACAGUACCGGGAGAAUAAGCCCCGGCUAACUCCGUG
Molecule: ribosomal RNA, 433 nt
Filed under: uncultured bacterium
Lineage: Bacteria
Description: partial 16S ribosomal RNA
Rfam family: Bacterial small subunit ribosomal RNA
Source: RNAcentral